AACGAACGCUGGCGGCAGGCCUAACACAUGCAAGUCGAGCGAGCAUUUCGGUGCUAGCGGCGGACGGGUGAGUAACGCGUGGGAACGUGCCCUUUUCUGCGGAAUAGUCCUGGGAAACUGGGGGUAAUACCGCAUACGCCCUUUUGGGGAAAGAUUUAUCGGAGAAGGAUCGGCCCGCGUUGGAUUAGGUAGUUGGUGGGGUAAUGGCCCACCAAGCCGACGAUCCAUAGCUGGUUUGAGAGGAUGAUCAGCCACACUGGGACUGAGACACGGCCCAGACUCCUACGGGAGGCAGCAGUGGGGAAUCUUAGACAAUGGGGGCAACCCUGAUCAAGCCAUGCCGCGUGAGUGAUGAAGGCCUUAGGGUUGUAAAGCUCUUUCAGCUGGGAAGAUAAUGACGGUACCAGCAGAAGAAGCCCCGGCUAACUCCGUG
Molecule: ribosomal RNA, 433 nt
Filed under: uncultured bacterium
Lineage: Bacteria
Description: partial 16S ribosomal RNA
Rfam family: Bacterial small subunit ribosomal RNA
Source: RNAcentral